RNAcentral lists this ribosomal RNA (587 nucleotides) under Kocuria sp. FXJ6.372. RNAcentral's name for it is "bacterial SSU rRNA". It matches the Rfam family "Bacterial small subunit ribosomal RNA", at positions 87 to 683 of the family's 1533-position model. Lineage: Bacteria; Bacillati; Actinomycetota; Actinomycetes; Micrococcales; Micrococcaceae. The record is from RNAcentral.
GUGGAUGAGUGGCGAACGGGUGAGUAAUACGUGAGUGACCUGCCUUUGACUCUGGGAUAAGCCUGGGAAACUGGGUCUAAUACCGGAUGCGACUACUGCCCGCAUGGGCUGGUGGUGGAAAGGGUUAUGUACUGGUCUUAGAUGGGCUCACGGCCUAUCAGCUGGUUGGUGGGGUAAUGGCCUACCAAGGCGACGACGGGUAGCCGGCCUGAGAGGGUGACCGGCCACACUGGGACUGAGACACGGCCCAGACUCCUACGGGAGGCAGCAGUGGGGAAUAUUGCACAAUGGGCGCAAGCCUGAUGCAGCGACGCCGCGUGAGGGAUGACGGCCUUCGGGUUGUAAACCUCUUUCAGCAGGGAAGAAGCGGAAGUGACGGUACCUGCAGAAGAAGCGCCGGCUAACUACGUGCCAGCAGCCGCGGUAAUACGUAGGGCGCAAGCGUUGUCCGGAAUUAUUGGGCGUAAAGAGCUCGUAGGCGGCUUGUCGCGUCUGCUGUGAAAGCCCGGGGCUUAACUCCGGGUGUGCAGUGGGUACGGGCAGGCUAGAGUGCAGUAGGGGUAACUGGAAUUCCUGGUGUAGCGGUG